Molecule: ribosomal RNA, 503 nt
Filed under: uncultured bacterium PHOS-HE60
Lineage: Bacteria; Pseudomonadati; Pseudomonadota; Betaproteobacteria
Description: bacterial SSU rRNA
Rfam family: Bacterial small subunit ribosomal RNA
Source: RNAcentral
UACAUCGGAACGUACCCAGUUGUGGGGGAUACCCCGGCGAAAGCCGGAUUAAUACCGCAUACGACCUGAGGGUGAAAGGGGGGGAUCGCAAGACCUCUCGCAGUUGGAGCGGCCGAUGGCGGAUUAGCUAGUUGGUGAGGUAAAGGCUCACCAAGGCGACGAUCCGUAGCUGGUCUGAGAGGACGACCAGCCACACUGGAACUGAGACACGGUCCAGACUCCUACGGGAGGCAGCAGUGGGGAAUUUUGGACAAUGGGGGCAACCCUGAUCCAGCCAUUCCGCGUGAGUGAAGAAGGCCUUCGGGUUGUAAAGCUCUUUCGGCAGGAACGAAACGGUGGUCCCUAAUACGGAUUGCUAAUGACGGUACCUGAAGAAGAAGCACCGGCUAACUACGUGCCAGCAGCCGCGGUAAUACGUAGGGUGCGAGCGUUAAUCGGAAUUACUGGGCGUAAAGCGUGCGCAGGCGGUUCUAUAAGACAGAUGUGAAAUCCCCGGGCUUAAC